RNAcentral lists this ribosomal RNA (509 nucleotides) under uncultured Glomus. RNAcentral describes it as "SSU rRNA". It matches the Rfam family "Eukaryotic small subunit ribosomal RNA", at positions 569 to 1078 of the family's 1831-position model. The record is from RNAcentral. Lineage: Eukaryota; Fungi; Glomeromycota; Glomeromycetes; Glomerales; Glomeraceae.
AACAGCCGCGGUAAUUCCAGCUCCAAUAGCGUAUAUUAAAGUUGUUGCAGUUAAAAAGCUCGUAGUUGAAUUUCGGGAUCAAUUCGUCGGUCGUGCUUUUUGGUACGUACUGGCGUUAUUGGUUUCUCCCUUCUGACGAGCCAUGAUGUCAUUAAUUUGGUGUUAUGGGGAGCUAGGACUGUUACUUUGAAAAAAUUAGAGUGUUUAAAGCAGGCAUUAGCUUGAAUACAUUAGCAUGGAAUAAUGAAAUAGGACGUUCGAUCCUAUUUUGUUGGCUUCUAGGAUCAACGUAAUGAUUAAUAGGGAUAGUUGGGGGCAUUAGUUUCCAAUUGUCAGAGGCGAAAUUCUUGGAUUUAUUGAAGACUAACUACUGCGAAAGCAUUUGCCAAGGAUGUUUUCAUUAAUCAAGAACGAAAGUUAGGGGAUCGAAGACGAUCAGAUACCGUCGUAGUCUUAACCAUAAACUAUGCCGACUAGGGAUCGGAUGAUGUUAAUUUUUUAAUGACUCA